Panicum virgatum (switchgrass) is the source of this 1488-nucleotide long non-coding RNA. RefSeq lists it as uncharacterized. The transcript has 3 exons. Lineage: Eukaryota; Viridiplantae; Streptophyta; Magnoliopsida; Poales; Poaceae. The record is from RefSeq and is a predicted model, not a curated record.
GCCGAGGCCCGAGCACAAUCACAUCUCGUCAGCUCCCCCACUCCACCCACGAUAGCACGUUCUUUUCGGUUACCCCAAACUCGUCCGCUCGCCUGCUCCGUACCACCCGCCGCCGGCGCUACUCCUCGACCCACCACCUUCGUCGGCGCCGCUCCUCAACCAGGCGCCAGCGGCCUCACCAGCCUCGCCGGAGCAGGAUCCCACGCAGCCAAGGGCCGUAACUGCGGAAGUAGCGCAGCACGGUCCACACGGAUGGUGUCGUUCCGGUUGCGGAUCCCGUCCAUCGGCGCACCACGGGACCGAUUCGUUGGCACCUCGUCGUCAUCCAUGCUACCAGCGUCCUGCUCCCUCCUUAGUCCAUGGAAGCGGCGGGCCAUGGUGGAGUGCCCCUGGCUGUCGAGCUGGGAUCCACGGAGGCUGGAGUUGCUGGCUGAUUUUGCACCUAUUCUCACCGCCUCACCGGCACUGACUCCUCCUGGAUCAGGCGUAGUAGGCCUAAUGAUGGAUCAGGCGUAGUAGGCCUAGGGAGCAGCUGAUCCCCACUGUCUGGCUGUAUCGAUGCUUUCUCCCACAACCAAAGAUGGCAUCCAGUUCCCCAGAUCACAAGCGCUUGCCAUCAAAGCAUCCUCAUCCAUCUGCUCUUCAUGAUUGCUCACAUAGGUAGUUUCUUCUACAAUUACUGAUUUCUACAAAGCACCCCAGCACCUUUUCGCAACUCUUUAUGCUAUGUACUUUCUAAACAACAAAAGCCUGCUAAGCACAAUAUGUAUUUACCAGCCUUUAUGUGCAUUAAUUUUUCAGAAUAUGCAGUAUCAGUUCUAGCUGAGUUCACUGGUUAGUUUUUUUUGGUUUAUAUGGAACGAAAUUGUAGCAUGUUCAUGGUCAGAUUACAAUCAGAAUUCUAGGUGUGCUUGAUUUUAAUCUGCUAACUGCAGGGGGAAGAAUAAUUAUAUAGUCAAUUCCAAAGUCAUCUCAGUAUACAUAUGAUGAAAUCAUAAUAAAUGGUUGCAUACUCGUUUUCAAUGAUACUUCUCUCCACCAAGUUCAUGGCUUUCUAUAUCACGUCUUCAAUUUUUGUGUAUGAAUUUUUGACUGCUGAACUUGGUGAUGCUGACCAUGGUGUUCCUCUGCAACGACACUGGCAUCACCUGUGACCAUGCUGGCUGCAUGAGAUUUUGGAGCUCUGGGAUGGCAAGUUCAAGCUGCCGAGCGACCGUCAUGUUGCAUGUGGAGCUAGCCUUGUGCCGCGUCGCUCUAGUGUGUGAAGAUUCGAUCUUUGUGAUCCUAACAUGUGAAUUGUGUUGACAAAAUCUGUGUGUUCAAACUGCAAAAUGCUAGCUUUGAUGACCACUGAAAUGAUCUGGUUUCGCCCUAAUUGUACUCAAGUUGGAAAUUUUAGCUUUUUAUACAUGGUAGAGACAAACCAGCCAUUGAUGAAUGAAACAGAUACUGGUUGUUACGACAACAAGGUGAGAAUGUAAAUUGCUA